AGUGGCGGACGGGUGAGUAACGCGUGAGAAUCUGCCUUCAGGUCGGGGACAACAGAGGGAAACUUCUGCUAAUCCCGGAUGAGCCUUAGGGUAAAAAAUUUAUUGCCUGGAGAUGAGCUCGCGUCUGAUUAGCUAGUUGGUAAGGUAAAAGCUUACCAAGGCAACGAUCAGUAGCUGGUCUGAGAGGAUGAGCAGCCACACUGGGACUGAGACACGGCCCAGACUCCUACGGGAGGCAGCAGUGGGGAAUUUUCCGCAAUGGGCGAAAGCCUGACGGAGCAAGACCGCGUGGGGGAGGAAGGCUCUAGGGUUGUAAACCCCUUUUCUUUGGGAAGAAAAAUGACGGUACCAAAGGAAUCAGCCUCGGCUAACUCCGUGCCAGCAGCCGCGGUAAUACGGAGGAGGCAAGCGUUAUCCGGAAUGAUUGGGCGUAAAGCGUCCGCAGGUGGCAAUGUAAGUCUGCUGUCAAAACCCAGGGCUCAACUCUGGUCAGGCAGUGGAAACUACAUAGCUAGAGUUCGGUAGGGGCAAAGGGAAUUCCCGGUGUAGCGGUGAAAUGCGUAGAGAUCGGGAAGAACAUCGGUGGCGAAAGCGCUUUGCUAGACCGAAACUGACACUCAGGGACGAAAGCUAGGGGAGCGAAUGGGAUUAGAUACCCC
Molecule: ribosomal RNA, 659 nt
Filed under: uncultured bacterium
Lineage: Bacteria
Description: bacterial SSU rRNA
Rfam family: Bacterial small subunit ribosomal RNA
Source: RNAcentral